Long non-coding RNA from Amphiprion ocellaris (clown anemonefish), 463 nucleotides. The record is from Ensembl. NCBI's taxonomy places the organism in Eukaryota, Metazoa, Chordata, Actinopteri, Pomacentridae.
GGAAGUUUGUCGGCUUAGACCUGGUGUCAUUCCAUCAGUGUUAAACUUCCCGGCUCAUCUUGGAAGAGUACGUGCCAGAAAGACCACGACCAAGCAGCCUUGAGAUCUUAGACAGCGUCUCCCUCAGCCACCAAGCACUGGAACACAUCUCCAAAGUUCUGCCGGGCCAGCUCAGCUUCCCCUCAGAAGAAGUUCCACCAGAUGAAGGAGCCUUUUGAGAGGCAGCUGGCAUCGUGAUUUGACUGUACUUUGGUCUGUUCCAAUCCAGCUUCAGCUCCAGAGACGGCAGGCGGGACGAGUCAACGGAGGCCUGGUGGACGAAGACCAAAGAACUACAGACUCUUCACAACCUGCUCAAACUCUUGGUACAGGACCUCACCACAUGGGUCAAGAAGGUUUCUGUCUCAUUUCUACUCUGAAGCUCACCUUCUCCUGCUCAAACUGCUGACAAAUGUUUCUGCUG